GCCUGGGUGGCUCAGUCGGUUAAGCGUCUGACUUCGGCUCAGGUCAUGAUCUCACGGUUUGUGAGUUCGAGCCCCACGUCGGGCU
RNAcentral lists this transfer RNA (85 nucleotides) under Felis catus (domestic cat). It matches the Rfam family "tRNA". Rfam says of the family: Transfer RNA (tRNA) molecules are approximately 80 nucleotides in length. Their secondary structure includes four short double-helical elements and three loops (D, anti-codon, and T loops). Further hydrogen bonds mediate the characteristic L-shaped molecular structure. tRNAs have two regions of fundamental functional importance: the anti-codon, which is responsible for specific mRNA codon recognition, and the 3' end, to which the tRNAs corresponding amino acid is attached (by aminoacyl-tRNA synthetases). tRNAs cope with the degeneracy of the genetic code in two manners: having more than one tRNA (with a specific anti-codon) for a particular amino acid; and 'wobble' base-pairing, i.e. permitting non-standard base-pairing at the 3rd anti-codon position. The record is from Rfam by way of RNAcentral. Lineage: Eukaryota; Metazoa; Chordata; Mammalia; Carnivora; Felidae. RNAcentral also lists the same sequence under 3 other names.